CCCUCCCUCUUUCUUCAGGCUUAACACAUGCAAGUCGAGCGCCCCGCAAGGGGAGCGGCAGACGGGUGAGUAACGCGUGGGAACGUACCUUUUGGUUCGGAACAACUCCGGGAAACUGGAGCUAAUACCGGAUAAGCCCUAACGGGGAAAGAUUUAUCGCCGAAAGAUCGGCCCGCGUCUGAUUAGCUAGUUGGUGAGGUAACGGCUCACCAAGGCGACGAUCAGUAGCUGGUCUGAGAGGAUGAUCAGCCACACUGGGACUGAGACACGGCCCAGACUCCUACGGGAGGCAGCAGUGGGGAAUAUUGGACAAUGGGCGCAAGCCUGAUCCAGCCAUGCCGCGUGAGUGAUGAAGGCCUUAGGGUUGUAAAGCUCUUUUGUCCGGGAAGAUAAUGACUGUACCGGAAGAAUAAGCCCCGGCUAACUUCGUG
Molecule: ribosomal RNA, 431 nt
Filed under: uncultured bacterium
Lineage: Bacteria
Description: partial 16S ribosomal RNA
Rfam family: Bacterial small subunit ribosomal RNA
Source: RNAcentral